Molecule: non-coding RNA, 1721 nt
Organism: Sesamum indicum (sesame)
Lineage: Eukaryota; Viridiplantae; Streptophyta; Magnoliopsida; Lamiales; Pedaliaceae
Source: RefSeq, a predicted model, not a curated record
UAUUUGAUAAUAGUUAGCUUAUUCUAGUGCAUGUCAACACCACCUACGAGGUUCGAUUUUAUUUAAAUUUGUAUAUGUAUGAAAUUAGAUAAUAUUUUAUAAGGUUUACUACUAAAGUUUUUAAUCUGGGUUUUUCUCUGAUUGCAUCUGUAAGGAGCCUCUUCUUCCCUCGACAUCUUUUCGACUACCUUACAAAUGGCAACAUCCCUGAUGCCAUUGUCAGCCAAAUGGUUUUCGAGUUCUGGCCUUGUGUCGUGUCUGUCUAUAGCAGGACCCUACUUGAAGAAUCUAGAGCUCCGAAUGGAUGACAUAAUCGAGCACCAGAAUUCCACUGAUAUCCCCUCCAAGUUGGAUUGUCUUAGGGCUGCUCGGAAUUUGGAGUCCCUAAUACUCUGGGGUGUGUUGAUGAUCCAAUCACCGGAAUGGGAUGUCUUCUACAGGCUCAAGAAUCUUGAAAUAGUUGGUGCCAGUUUGAAGAGUUGGCAAUUUCUGAGGCUCUUCGUGCUUGUCCUAAUUGACCCACUUUUUGCUUCUUGGUUGUGAAGGGCUGAGGUCCAUUUUAAUAGAGAACCCUCAUAUUUGGCAGUGUAAGCUUGAACUUUUUGGAGCUGGCAACUGUUCGCUUAUGGUACCUACAAUGGCUCCUGAUAGUCUUACAUUCAGAUUCCUGUUCGUUAUAGUAUGUUGUCCAGUAUUGUCUGAUAAUGGGACAAGUUCAUAUCGUGGACUUUGGGAAACUUGUGGCAUUGGAGACAUUGUCCAUUCGGGGAGUGCAGUGAUGCUGGGAUGCUAUAGGCAAAAUUGUUCAAAUGGUUAGUGAGGUUAAGCACCUAUACAUGAAGGUGGAAUUCACUGGGGAGACUGAUAACCUGCAACCCUUUCCAGAGAUUGAUUUUGUAGACUUCUUUAACAGCCAUCCCAAGCUGGAAACUUUUGAGAUUCAUGGUGCCAUGUUCGCUGCUCUUUGUAAAAUGAACAGCCUGAAAAAUGUUAAGUCAUUCAGUAACGCAAUUCCAGUGUGUUAAUCUUUGGUGGAACUUUAUCUCAAUAGUGCUAACUGGAUUCUUGAUAAGGUAGAGAUGUUGCUGGUAUUGCAGGUUGACUCUGGGUUUAUGAUUCCCCCACCUUGAAAAGGUUGUCGUCACAGUACGAUCACCACGGAAUGCUGAACAAAAAAUGAGCAUGCUGGAUUCAUUGGUAAAGUAUGCAAGGAAUUUAAAUGAAUUUCUUUGAGGCGCCAUAGAAGCGCUGAUGAUUUCUUUGAGGAUAUUAGCAGAUUUGGAAGCAUGAAUUGGGAGAUUGUUUCAAUUGAAUAGGAAUUGUUCGCUCAGCAUUUCCUUUUCUGUUGGGAUACAUCAUUUCUCGGGUUCUAAUUGUUGAUAGAUUUAGUUGUGGAUAACCUUUUCUUACAAUAGAUAUUGUUAAGAAUUCUGGUAUCCUGAUCUUCGAGUACAGAAUGGUUCAGUUGAAUGGCAAAUAUGGCAGUUAAAAUAGCUCAGAUGUAUUUAACACACACACAGACACAGAGAGAGCAUCACAUCCUAUUGCAUUAACUCUUAAUAAUUUAAAGAAAACAGGAAAUGUUUCUCUCAUUAUCUCAAACAGUAAAAGUGUGUGUAAAAAAUUCAUCCUGGUGAAUGAGAAUAUAUUCAAGAGGCAAAAAGUCCUAAGAUUUAAGCUGGCGUCACAAAAUACAAGUAAAUCGAACAAAUCUAGAUUAG